This 318-nucleotide ribosomal RNA is filed under the name Pardosa sp. GH52. Its description in RNAcentral is "partial 12S ribosomal RNA". Lineage: Eukaryota; Metazoa; Arthropoda; Arachnida; Araneae; Lycosidae. The record is from RNAcentral.
UGGUAGUAGAAAUUUUUUCUUAAAACCUAAUUACAAUGGCGGCAUUUCAUCUUAUUAAAGGAACCUGUUUUUUAAUCGACAAUCCACGUUAAUUUUAACUUUAAUUAAAAAUUUAUAUACCGCCAUCUAAAAAACUAAUUUCAUAAUAAUAUUUUAAAUAAAAAAUAAAAAGUUAGGUCAAGGUGUAAUCAACAUUAAAGCAAAUAAUGGGUUACACUAAAAAUAAUUUAAGGACUAAAACAUCAAAACGUUUUAUAAAAAAGGAUUUAAAAGUAAUAAAAUAAUAAUAUUUUACUAUGAUUCAGAUAAAAAAUGUGC